CGUGAUUCUGCCACCUCGCCAACAAACACGAUCCCUGUUGUUGUGCGCGCGCCGCUCUGUUGCCGUUGUCUCUUUUUCUUUUCUCCUUCCCUCGGACCUUGGGCGCUGUCGACGCUUCCUUUUUUCUUUCCGGGGUUUCUCUCGUCUUUUCCCUCUGCCUCCAAGAGGCCGUUGCCUCGUCGGUGGCGGCGGCGGUGCCUCGACGCAGAUCCCUCGGCGCCUUUGGCGUCGCCAAAAACCCCUCUAAAGAAAUUUUUUUCUUUAGGUCGCUUCGCGACGAUCGGCCGAUGACCCCAUCGGUUCUUUUGCUGUCGGUCUGGCGUCGCCGUCGUCAUGGUCGUCGCCUUGGAGGAUGAGACGACGCCAACAAGGGGGAGGACGACAACGACACAAAAGACGCCUGCAGGCGCCGAUCGCAAACAACCCGACUACGACGAUAACGAUGACAACAACGACGACGACGACGACGACGACG
Molecule: long non-coding RNA, 475 nt
Filed under: Pandoravirus salinus
Description: putative ncRNA
Source: RNAcentral